CUACACAUGCAGUCGAGCGGAGAUGAGGUGCUUGCACCUUAUCUUAGCGGCGGACGGGUGAGUAAUGCUUAGGAAUCUGCCUAUUAGUGGGGGACAACAUUCCGAAAGGAAUGCUAAUACCGCAUACGUCCUACGGGAGAAAGCAGGGGAUCUUCGGACCUUGCGCUAAUAGAUGAGCCUAAGUCGGAUUAGCUAGUUGGUGGGGUAAAGGCCUACCAAGGCGACGAUCUGUAGCGGGUCUGAGAGGAUGAUCCGCCACACUGGGACUGAGACACGGCCCAGACUCCUACGGGAGGCAGCAGUGGGGAAUAUUGGACAAUGGGGGGAACCCUGAUCCAGCCAUGCCGCGUGUGUGAAGAAGGCCUUAUGGUUGUAAAGCACUUUAAGCGAGGAGGAGGCUACUGAGACUAAUACUCUUGGAUAGUGGACGUUACUCGCAGAAUAAGCACCGGCUAACUCUGUGCCAGCAGCCGCGGUAAUACAGAGGGUGCGAGCGUUAAUCGGAUUUACUGGGCGUAAAGCGUGCGUAGGCGGCUUUUUAAGUCGGAUGUGAAAUCCCCGAGCUUAACUUGGGAAUUGCAUUCGAUACUGGGAAGCUAG
RNAcentral lists this ribosomal RNA (600 nucleotides) under Acinetobacter sp. Its description in RNAcentral is "bacterial SSU rRNA". It matches the Rfam family "Bacterial small subunit ribosomal RNA", at positions 49 to 644 of the family's 1533-position model. Lineage: Bacteria; Pseudomonadati; Pseudomonadota; Gammaproteobacteria; Moraxellales; Moraxellaceae. The record is from RNAcentral.